RNAcentral lists this ribosomal RNA (538 nucleotides) under uncultured Geobacteraceae bacterium. RNAcentral describes it as "bacterial SSU rRNA". It matches the Rfam family "Bacterial small subunit ribosomal RNA", at positions 9 to 526 of the family's 1533-position model. Lineage: Bacteria; Pseudomonadati; Thermodesulfobacteriota; Desulfuromonadia; Geobacterales; Geobacteraceae. The record is from RNAcentral.
GAGUUUGAUCCUGGCUCARAACGAACGCUGGCGGCRUGCUUAACACAUGCAAGUCGAACGUGAUUGASAGCUUGCUCUCAUGAAAGUGGCGCACGGGUGAGUAACACRUGGAUAAUCUGCCUGGCGAUUCGGGAUAACACUUCGAAAGGGGUGCUAAUACCGGAUAAGCCCACGGACUCUUAGGGGUUUGCGGGAAAAGGGGGCCUCUGUAUAUGCUCCUGUCGCUAGAUGAGUCCGCGGCCCAUUAGCUAGUUGGUAGGGUAAUGGCCUGCCAAGGCRACRAUGGGUAGCUGGUCUGARAGGAUGAUCAGCCACACUGGAACUGAGACACGGUCCAGACUCCUACGGGAGGCAGCAGUGGGGAAUUCUGCGCAAUGGGCGAAAGCCUGACGCAGCAACGCCGCGUGAGUGAUGAAGGCCUUCGGGUCGUAAAGCUCUGACGGUGGGRAAGAACCGCCGGGUGGUUAAUACCUGCCUGGUCUGACGGUACCCACAAAGGAAGCACCGGCUAACUCCGUGCCAGCAGCCGCGGWAAUAC